GAUGAACGCUGGCGGCGUGCCUAAUACAUGCAAGUCGAGCGAACAGACGAGGAGCUUGCUCCUCUGACGUUAGCGGCGGACGGGUGAGUAACACGUGGAUAACCUACCUAUAAGACUGGGAUAACUUCGGGAAACCGGAGCUAAUACCGGAUAAUAUAUUGAACCGCAUGGUUCACUAGUGAAAGACGGUUUUUCUGUCACUUAUAGAUGGAUCCGCGCCGCAUUAGCUAGUUGGUAAGGUAACGGAUUACCAAGGCAACGAUGCGUAGCCGACCUGAGAGCGAGGUCGAGCAGCCUGGAUGAGAGAAAGGGCAGAGACAUCGAGAGUGAGAAGCAGUAGAGAAUCUUACGGGAGGGGGGAGUGGGGGAUGGAGCAAAAUGGGGGAAAGGAUGAAGGUGUUAUGACGGUAGAAUGAUGUAAGUAGGAAGGUAGUAAAAUGUAAGUAACUAGGAAGAUAUUGACGGUACCUGAUGAGAAAGCCACGGCUAACUUCGUG
Molecule: ribosomal RNA, 497 nt
Filed under: uncultured bacterium
Lineage: Bacteria
Description: partial 16S ribosomal RNA
Rfam family: Bacterial small subunit ribosomal RNA
Source: RNAcentral